AAGUCGUAACAAGGUUUCCGUAGGUGAACCUGCGGAAGGAUCAUUAACACGUAUCCAACGUUAAACCCCCUGUGAACCUUCAUUGUACGAGUUACAUCCACGUCAUAAACCGGCAAUCUCUGGUAAAUCAUCGACCUCUGGGAAGGGUGUACGGUAGUGCGAGGCAAUUGACCUGGCAUUCCUCUGCUUGUUAGUGUCUGAAAGUGUCACUAGCUAUGUACGGAUGGCGCAGUAACGAUCGCUGGAGGCCGACACGGCCGGCGACCAGGUCACUGGGCUACGGCCCCCCUGAUCACAACCUUUGCAUGAAAACGGGCCUGCGCUGAGGUGCGGCCACCCCUAAUGCUUGAACAACUGUUAACAAUGGAUAUCUUGGUUCUC
Molecule: unclassified non-coding RNA, 381 nt
Filed under: fungal sp.
Lineage: Eukaryota; Fungi
Description: partial internal transcribed spacer region
Rfam family: Eukaryotic small subunit ribosomal RNA (bases 1-46)
Source: RNAcentral